RNAcentral lists this ribosomal RNA (192 nucleotides) under Triticum aestivum (bread wheat). RNAcentral describes it as "partial small subunit ribosomal RNA". Lineage: Eukaryota; Viridiplantae; Streptophyta; Magnoliopsida; Poales; Poaceae. The record is from RNAcentral.
AUGUUGGAAGUUGCAGGACGGCUCACGCUCACCUCUUCGGUCCUCAUGGCACUGCCCAUGCACAUCAUGGCAGCGCUCCCGCUGCCGGCCUGGGCUAUCAAGACUAUCAACCGCCGCUGCCGUGGAUUUAUUUGGAAGGGGGAGGAGGAGACUAGUGGUGGCCAUUGCCUUAUGCCUUGGAGCAGGGUGUGC